Molecule: ribosomal RNA, 475 nt
Filed under: uncultured bacterium
Lineage: Bacteria
Description: bacterial SSU rRNA
Rfam family: Bacterial small subunit ribosomal RNA
Source: RNAcentral
UUGAACGCUGGCGGCAUGCUUUACACAUGCAAGUCGAACGGUAACAGGUUAAGCUGACGAGUGGCGAACGGGUGAGUAAUGCAUCGGAACGUGCCCGAUCGUGGGGGAUAACGCAGCGAAAGCUGCGCUAAUACCGCAUACGAUCUGAGGAUGAAAGCGGGGGACCGUAAGGCCUCGCGCGAUCGGAGCGGCCGAUGUCAGAUUAGGUAGUUGGUGGGGUAAAGGCUCACCAAGCCGACGAUCUGUAGCUGGUCUGAGAGGACGACCAGCCACACUGGGACUGAGACACGGCCCAGACUCCUACGGGAGGCAGCAGUGGGGAAUUUUGGACAAUGGGCGCAAGCCUGAUCCAGCAAUGCCGCGUGCAGGAAGAAGGCCUUCGGGUUGUAAAGCUCUUUCAGUUGAGAAGAAAAGAUUGUGACUAAUAAUCAUAAUUCAUGACGGUAUCAACAGAAGAAGCACCGGCUAACUACGU